Molecule: ribosomal RNA, 495 nt
Filed under: uncultured bacterium
Lineage: Bacteria
Description: partial 16S ribosomal RNA
Rfam family: Bacterial small subunit ribosomal RNA
Source: RNAcentral
GACGAACGCUGGCGGCGUGCCUAAUACAUGCAAGUAGAACGCUGAAGGAGGAGCUUGCUCUUCUGGAUGAGUUGCGAACGGGUGAGUAACGCGUAGGUAACCUGCCUGGUAGCGGGGGAUAACUAUUGGAAACGAUAGCUAAUACCGCAUAACAGUAGAUGUUGCAUGACAUUUGCUUAAAAGGUGCAAUUGCAUCACUACCAGAUGGACCUGCGUUGUAUUAGCUAGUUGGUGGGGUAACGGCUCACCAAGGCGACGAUACAUAGCCGACCUGAGAGGGUGAUCGGCCACACUGGGACUGAGACACGGCCCAGACUCCUACGGGAGGCAGCAGUAGGGAAUCUUCGGCAAUGGACGGAAGUCUGACCGAGCAACGCCGCGUGAGUGAAGAAGGUUUUCGGAUCGGAAAGCUCUGUUGUAAGAGAAGAACGAGUGUGAGAGUGGAAAGUUCACACUGUGACGGUAUCUUACCAGAAAGGGACGGCUAACUACGUG